AUGCUAACGAAGCCCCAGGAAUGUUGCACAUUUCCAUUCCCCUCCAGCUUUCGGAGGAGGUUGGUCCCCGCUGCGGGUAGCCGCUCCGAGGAGCACAGCCCCGAGGCCACACUUGCUCCGGGCGCCGCCCCGCACCUUCCGCAGGCGCGGCCGGAGAUGCCGGCGAGACGGCUGUGGUGGGCGCGCUGCUUGCUCGGCGUCUGCCUCUCGCUGCUGGGCUCGGGGGGCGUCUCAGCGGAUCCCUGCCGCGGACCCCCGUGCGAGGGCGGCUCCGCUCCCCCGCCGCCCUGCCGCGGACCCCGCUGCGGCGGCCGGGCCGGGCGCCCGGCGCGCUCCUUCCUGCACACCGCCGCUCCGCUGCGGCCGCCGCAGGGCAGGGCACUGCCCGCAGCCCCGCCGCCCGCCUGCCCCGGCGGGGACUGCGCCGCCAACGCCACCCGCCGCGACUGCCAGGGCCUGGAGUGCCGCCUGCUGCCCGCCCGCCUGCGGCCGCGGCCCCGCGGCCCGGGCUGCGCCGCCCCCGCCGAGGGCUGCCCCGAGCCCGCCCUGCUGCGCGCCGCCGACAGAGCCGCACAGUUCGCGGGGGACGACUUCGGCCCCGCCGCUCCCGAGCGAGGCGGCGGCGCCCCGGGGGUACAGCUCACCUGCGACGUCAAGCCAGCCAGUUUCAUCAGUACCACACCUACUGCCUGGAAGACUCCUGCCAACUGCAGCUGAACCACCACUUCUUUUGGCCAGGUGAAGAUGUUGGAGUGCAGACUCAUAGUCCCAUUUCACAUCAGAUGAGCCCAUUGUCCCAGCUAUUUCUCAGCAGCACUGUGAGUGCACCUUACUUCAGAUGGAAGACUGGCAUCCCAAAAGAAGGAAUGCACAGAAACUGGGUUUUGUUGUCUUAUCCUGGUCUUUGUUUUCUCAAAUCCAGUAUAUUGCAAGCUACUUUAAUAUUUAAGUUAAUGCUGAAAAAUGAAAAUGAACAUGUGCCUUAUGCUGUGAGUAAAACUAAGCAAACAGUAAAAUAUUUUGGAACUGUAAACAAAAACUGGAUAUGGUCUUUGUUCAUUGUGUCAUCCUUCACAUCCUGUGCUUGUGAGAAUAAAAAUUAGUGCUGCUUAAGAGCA
This 1118-nucleotide long non-coding RNA is filed under the name Parus major (Great Tit). RNAcentral describes it as "lncRNA (ENSPMJG00000006181.1)". The record is from RNAcentral. Lineage: Eukaryota; Metazoa; Chordata; Aves; Passeriformes; Paridae.